AGCGAACGCUGGCGGCAGGCUUAACACAUACAAGUCGAGCGGGCACCUUCGGGUGUCAGCGGCAGACGGGUGAGUAACACGUGGGAACGUACCCUUCGGUUCGGAAUAACGCUGGGAAACUAGCGCUAAUACCGGAUACGCCCUUAUGGGGAAAGGUUUACUGCCGAAGGAUCGGCCCGCGUCUGAUUAGCUAGUUGGUGGGGUAACGGCCUCCCAAGGCGACGAUCAGUAGCUGGUCUGAGAGGAUGAUCAGCCACACUGGGACUGAGACACGGCCCAGACUCCUACGGGAGGCAGCAGUGGGGAAUAUUGGACAAUGGGCGCAAGCCUGAUCCAGCCAUGCCGCGUGAGUGAUGAAGGCCUUAGGGUUGUAAAGCUCUUUUGUCCGGGACGAUAAUGACGGUACCGGAAGAAUAAGCCCCGGCUAACUUCGUG
RNAcentral lists this ribosomal RNA (435 nucleotides) under uncultured bacterium. RNAcentral describes it as "partial 16S ribosomal RNA". It matches the Rfam family "Bacterial small subunit ribosomal RNA", at positions 29 to 507 of the family's 1533-position model. The record is from RNAcentral.